Molecule: small RNA, 972 nt
Filed under: Arabidopsis thaliana (thale cress)
Lineage: Eukaryota; Viridiplantae; Streptophyta; Magnoliopsida; Brassicales; Brassicaceae
Description: ATSL195390
Source: RNAcentral
AAAGCUGAAACUAAUGUUAGUAUUUAUAUAUUAUUAAAUAGAAAAUCAUAUGUUUAGUAAAUAUUUACCAGGUAAUGCAAGAUUUGUGUUGGCAAAACCAACCAGGUGAGCGUAAUUGUAAACUUUAAAUUUCUCUUUCUCUAUCUUUAGCCAUGAUUCAUAUACCACAAUGAUUUUGGUAUCAAUGUUGACUUUGAUGACAAAAGGGUGGUCCGUGAUUUUGGUGUAUUUGGUGCAUGACCUAACUUCAAACCACAACAGGUGAUUCUGAUGAAGUGGUUUGAUCGGUUUAUGAGUAAAGGAGAUCAAUGUCCAAAUAGCAUUUGAGAAGAGCUUUCGUAAGACAAUUCAUAAUUGAGCCACCACAAAGGCUUUUACAUUUGUAGUUUUUGUCACACAGAAGUUUACAUUGAUUUGUAGUAUAAUAUUCUUUGUACAAGGUUUCAUAUACUUGAUUCUGCAACUACAAACUAAUAAUAAAACAGAGAACUCAACAUGAAUCCACUAACAACAAUUAUAAUACUUUACCAAAUACUACAAAAUACUUGCAGUUACCAACACUACAAAACAGAACUCAAUCAUAAACAAACUCAAUCAUAAACAAAACCAUUGUGAGAAAACUCUACAUCCGAACAAAGAAACAGAUGGUCCACGAGUUCACCGAUGCUCCACCUCGAACCAGGCUCCUUAACCAAACACCUCAUUAGAAAGUCUUGAGCUUCUGCAGAUAACCGAGUCGAGAUUUGAGGAGUGAGAUCACUAUGACCAAUUAAAUCAACCCAAUCAUCAUGAACCAAAUCACCAUGCUCUCCCCAAACCGUUUUCCCUGUUAGCAUCUCCAAAACAGAACAUCCAAACGCCCAAAUGUCAACAGCAAAAUCCACAAGCCCACCGCCUAUUAACUCCGGAGCCAUGUACGUAGAUGAGUGCCCGCGCUACGCACGAGAUUUUGUUGUUGAUUUUCUUAAAAUU